GAUGAAGAACGUAGCGAAAUGCGAUAAGUAAUGUGAAUUGCAGAAUUCAGUGAGUCAUCGAAUCUUUGAACGCACAUUGCGCCCGCCAGUAUUCUGGCGGGCAUGCCUGUUCGAGCGUCAUUUCAACCCUCAAGCCCAGCUUGGUGUUGGGGAUCGGCACAGGCGCCCUCGGGCGCCCGCCGUCCCCUAAAUCUAGUGGCGGUCCCGCUGCAGCCUCCUCUGCGUAGUAGUUUUCUCCUCGCAAGGGCAGCUCGGUGGCGACCUCGCCGUAAAACCCCCAACUUCUGAAAGGUUGACCUCGAAUCAGGUAGGAAUACCCGCUGAACUUAAGCAUAUCAAUAAGCGGAGGA
This 350-nucleotide unclassified non-coding RNA is filed under the name soil metagenome. RNAcentral's name for it is "partial contains 5.8S ribosomal RNA, internal transcribed spacer 2, and large subunit ribosomal RNA". The stretch from base 1 to 120 matches the Rfam family "5.8S ribosomal RNA", at positions 35 to 154 of the family's 154-position model. The record is from RNAcentral.